UACGGAGGGUGCAAGCGUUAUCCGGAUUCACUGGGUUUAAAGGGUGCGUAGGUGGGCAGGUAAGUCAGUGGUGAAAUCUCCGGGCUUAACCCGGAAACUGCCAUUGAUACUAUCUGUCUUGAAUACCGUGGAGGUGAGCGGAAUAUGUCAUGUAGCGGUGAAAUGCUUAGAGAUGACAUAGAACACCUAUUGCGAAGGCAGCUUACUACGCAGAUAUUGACGCUCAUGCACGAAAGCGUGGGGAUCAAACAGG
This 253-nucleotide ribosomal RNA is filed under the name uncultured bacterium. Its description in RNAcentral is "partial 16S ribosomal RNA". It matches the Rfam family "Bacterial small subunit ribosomal RNA", at positions 524 to 776 of the family's 1533-position model. The record is from RNAcentral.